GCAGGCUGCAACCCGCCUGCAUGAAGCCGGAAUCGCUAGUAAUCGCAGAUCAGAAUGCUGCGGUGAAUACGUUCCCGGGUCUUGUACACACCGCCCGUCACACCAUGGGAGUCGAUAACGCCCGAAGUCAGUGACCCAACCGAGAGGAGGGAGCUGCCGAAGGCGGGAUGGAUAACUGGGGUGAAGUCGUAACAAGGUAUC
This 201-nucleotide ribosomal RNA is filed under the name uncultured bacterium. RNAcentral's name for it is "partial 16S ribosomal RNA". It matches the Rfam family "Bacterial small subunit ribosomal RNA", at positions 1300 to 1500 of the family's 1533-position model. The record is from RNAcentral.